CACGGUUUGCUCGCGUUUCGUCCGUCCGCCGUCUGCAGCUGCGAUGGUCGCGGGAAAACGGUUCGGCCGCGGUAAACACACGUCGUAGCGAUAAAACGAAAAGUAAUCCCGAGAUACGUACGGGGUACACUCGCGCCGUCGCCGCCGUCGUGUCGCUGUCCGUCAGCCGUCCGCCGCGUUCUUAUUCGUCUCCGCCGCCGCCGUCGACCGUAAAACGCGUUCGCCUGAGUUAUUGCCCGUGAUACGCGUAAGCACAAGCGCGCGCGCUCGCGCUCGCGCACGCCCAAG
This is a non-coding RNA of Cinara cedri, 288 nucleotides long. The record is from the annotation of a GenBank genome assembly. Lineage: Eukaryota; Metazoa; Arthropoda; Insecta; Hemiptera; Aphididae.